RNAcentral lists this ribosomal RNA (49 nucleotides) under fungal endophyte MUT 2728. Its description in RNAcentral is "partial 28S ribosomal RNA". The record is from RNAcentral. Lineage: Eukaryota; Fungi; Ascomycota.
UGACCUCGGAUCAGGUAGGGAUACCCGCUGAACUUAAGCAUAUNAAUAA